Molecule: ribosomal RNA, 301 nt
Filed under: uncultured bacterium
Lineage: Bacteria
Description: partial 16S ribosomal RNA
Rfam family: Bacterial small subunit ribosomal RNA
Source: RNAcentral
CAGCCGCCGCGGGAAUACGGAGGGGGCAAGCGUUAUCCGGAAUUAUUGGGCGUAAAGGGUACGUAGGUGGCCUUUUAAGCGUAGGGUAUAAGGCAAUGGCUCAACCAUUGUUCGCUCUAUGAACUGGAAGGCUUGAGUGCAGGAGAGGAAAGCGGAAUUCCUAGUGUAGCGGUGGAAUGCAUAGAUAUUAGGAGGAACAUCAGCGGCGAAGGCGGCUUUCUGGACUGCAACUGACACUGAGGUACGAAAGCGUGGGGAGCAAACAGGAUUAGAUACCCCUGUAGUCCCUGUCUCUUAUACC